AAAACCUUAAAGUGCUUUAUUUUCUCCAAUUCCUCCAAACACCUUUAAAACUAUCUCAACAGGGUUAUGUAGUGACCCUGAGUUUAUAAAAUUCCAUAUUCCUUAUAUAAACUUUUACUUACCUACCAAUUGAUCAGAAACUUUUCGAAUAAAUAGUUAAUGUUUUUUUUUCAAUGAUGCAAUUGCCAAGAUGAGUCAUAAUAUCUGUAAGUCAAAUAGCAAAACAAGAAAAGUCAAAGUACAAUGUUUAUUGUUUCUAGGUGGAUAUUACAGGUGAUAUUCUCAAAAUUGUCGCAUGAUUUUUUUUUGUUUUCAGAUCACACCACAGUUUGGUAUAAAUGUCGGGAUAAAUUUUGAACAAAUCUUCAGAAUAUCUUCGUAGUUGACUACAAUUGCCAAUCAAACUAAAACAAUCGUUUUCGCACUUUGUUUUUGUCCGAAUGACCCAUAAUAUCAAUGACCUGAAACUUUUAUCUUUUAUCAACAUGUCCAUUCUUUGAUCUCUUUCUUCUUUAUUUGAAAACAUCGUUCAAUCAAAGGAUAGUGAGGUUAUCACAUAUCUCUCUUUCUUGUCUUUAUCACUCAACACGUCCAUUUCAUCAACAGAUUGCUUGAAUGUAUCUCGUAGGUGUUGUGCGGUAUUUUUGCAAUGUUCUAGGUUUUCGGAUUUUUUUUUAAAUUUAAAAUGUAUAGUUUAGGUACAUGCCUCGCACCUACCUGUCUUAACCUACUUUUCAUUUUUCAUCCCUGAAAAAUUUAAAUCAGCAAAAAUUAAUUUACCCCAAUUCUUUUAACUUUAUGAAACUAUAAUUAGUUUUCAAUUUAAUUUCUGAUGCACUUUUAUUUCCUGUUGAAAGUCUUCCAUUUUCCAAAUUUGUCAAAACCAUCCAUCAAGCACAUUAGAAAUCCGAGUUCUGAGCAUUGUGCAUAAAAUUCAUUUCUUU
Molecule: long non-coding RNA, 944 nt
Organism: Caenorhabditis elegans
Lineage: Eukaryota; Metazoa; Nematoda; Chromadorea; Rhabditida; Rhabditidae
Gene: linc-151
Product: ncRNA
Source: Ensembl